CCUACGGGUGGCAGCAGUGAGGAAUAUUGGUCAAUGGGCGCGAGCCUGAACCAGCCAAGUAGCGUGAAGGAUGACUGCCCUACGGGUUGUAAACUUCUUUUAUAAAGGAAUAAAGUGAGGCACGUGUGCCUUUUUGUAUGUACUUUAUGAAUAAGGAACGGCUAACUCCGGGCCAGCAGACGCGGUAAUACGGAGGAUCCGAGCGUUAUCCGGAUUUAUUGGGUUUAAAGGGAGCGUAGAUGGGUUGUUAAGUCAGUUGUGAAAGUUUUCGGCUCAACCGUAAAAUUGCAAUUGAUACUGGCAGUCUUGAGUACAGGUGAGGUAGGCAGAAUUCGUGGUGUAGCGGUGAAAUGCUUAGAUAUCACGAAGAACUCCGAUUGCGAAGGCAGCUUACUAAACUGCCACUGACAUUGAUGCUCGAAAGUGUGGGUAUCAAACAGGAUUAGAUACCCUAGUAGUC
RNAcentral lists this ribosomal RNA (460 nucleotides) under uncultured bacterium. Its description in RNAcentral is "partial 16S ribosomal RNA". It matches the Rfam family "Bacterial small subunit ribosomal RNA", at positions 338 to 795 of the family's 1533-position model. The record is from RNAcentral.